GACGAACGCUGGCGGCGUGCUUAACACAUGCAAGUCGAACGGAAAGGCGCUGCUUUUGUGGGGUGCUCGAGUGGCGAACGGGUGAGUAACACGUGAGUAGCCUGCCCUUGACUUUGGGAUAACUUCAGGAAACUGGGGCUAAUACCGGAUAGGAUAUCCUGCUGCAUGGGGGGGGUUGGAAAGUUUCGGCGGUUGGGGAUGGACUCGCGGCUUAUCAGCUUGUUGGUGGGGUAGGGGCUUACCAAGGCUUUGAAGGGUAGCCGGCCUGAGCGGGUGACCGGCCACAUUGGGACUGAGAUACGCCCCAGACUCCUACGGGCGGCAGCAGUGGGGAAUCUUGCACAAUGGGCGGAAGCCUGAUGCAGCAACGCCGCGUGCGGGAUGACGGCCUUUGGGUUGUAAACCGAUUUCGCCUGUGACGAAGCGUGAGUGACGGUAAUGGGUAAAGAAGCACCGGCUAACUACGUG
RNAcentral lists this ribosomal RNA (468 nucleotides) under uncultured bacterium. Its description in RNAcentral is "partial 16S ribosomal RNA". It matches the Rfam family "Bacterial small subunit ribosomal RNA", at positions 28 to 507 of the family's 1533-position model. The record is from RNAcentral.